AACGAGAAAGUAUCUUCGGAUACAAGUACAGUGGCGCACGGGUGAGUAACACGUAGGUGAUCUACCCUUUAGCGGGGGAUAACACGGAGAAAUUCGUGCUAAUACCGCAUACGAAAAGCAAUUUUGGUAAUAGCUUUUGAAAGAGUGCCUCUUCUUGAAAGCACUUACUAAAGGAUGAGCCUGCGGGACAUUAGCUUGUUGGUAAGGUAACGGCUUACCAAGGCGACGAUGUCUAGCUGGUCUGAGAGGAUGAUCAGCCACACUGGAACUGAGACACGGUCCAGACUCCUACGGGAGGCAGCAGUGGGGAAUAUUGCGCAAUGGGCGAAAGCCUGACGCAGCAACGCCGCGUGAGUGAGGAAGGCCUUCGGGUUGUAAAGCUCUGUCAAAUAGGAAGAAUGGUCAUUGGUCCAAUAGGCCUUUGAUUUGACGGUACUAUUAAAGGAAGCACCGGCUAACUUCGUG
This 465-nucleotide ribosomal RNA is filed under the name uncultured bacterium. RNAcentral describes it as "bacterial SSU rRNA". It matches the Rfam family "Bacterial small subunit ribosomal RNA", at positions 65 to 507 of the family's 1533-position model. The record is from RNAcentral.